This 499-nucleotide ribosomal RNA is filed under the name Nocardia seriolae. RNAcentral describes it as "partial 23S ribosomal RNA". It matches the Rfam family "Bacterial large subunit ribosomal RNA", at positions 2430 to 2925 of the family's 2925-position model. The record is from RNAcentral. Lineage: Bacteria; Bacillati; Actinomycetota; Actinomycetes; Mycobacteriales; Nocardiaceae.
CAAGUGGAAGCGGUGUCGCUCAACGGAUAAAAGGUACCCCGGGGAUAACAGGCUGAUCUUCCCCAAGAGUCCAUAUCGACGGGAUGGUUUGGCACCUCGAUGUCGGCUCGUCGCAUCCUGGGGCUGGAGUAGGUCCCAAGGGUUGGGCUGUUCGCCCAUUAAAGCGGCACGCGAGCUGGGUUUAGAACGUCGUGAGACAGUUCGGUCUCUAUCCGCCGCGCGCGUUAGAAACUUGAGGAAGGCUGUCCCUAGUACGAGAGGACCGGGACGGACGAACCUCUGGUGUGCCAGUUGUUCCGCCAGGAGCACGGCUGGUUGGCCACGUUCGGAAGGGAUAACCGCUGAAAGCAUCUAAGCGGGAAGCCUGUUCCAAGAUGAGGUUUCUUACCCCCUCGAGGGGGUAAGGCCCCCAACAGACCAUUGGGUUGAUAGGCCAGAACUGGAAGUCUGGUAACAGAUGUAGGUGACUGGUACUAAUAGGCCGAGGACUUACCAACAA